GGUUAAGCGACUAAGCGUACACGGUGGAUGCCCUGGCAGUCAGAGGCGAUGAAGGACGUGCUAAUCUGCGAUAAGCGUCGGUAAGGUGAUAUGAACCGUUAUAACCGGCGAUUUCCGAAUGGGGAAACCCAGUGUGUUUCGACACACUAUCAUUAACUGAAUCCAUAGGUUAAUGAGGCGAACCGGGGGAACUGAAACAUCUAAGUACCCCGAGGAAAAGAAAUCAACCGAGAUUCCCCCAGUAGCGGCGAGCGAACGGGGAGCAGCCCAGAGCCUGAAUCAGUGUGUGUGUUAGUGGAAGCGUCUGGAAAGGCGCGCGAUACAGGGUGACAGCCCCGUACACAAAAAUGCACAUGCUGUGAGCUCGAUGAGUAGGGCGGGACACGUGGUAUCCUGUCUGAAUAUGGGGGGACCAUCCUCCAAGGCUAAAUACUCCUGACUGACCGAUAGUGAACCAGUACCGUGAGGGAAAGGCGAAAAGAACCCCGGCGAGGGGAGUGAAAAAGAACCUGAAACCGUGUACGUACAAGCAGUGGGAGCACGCUUAGGCGUGUGACUGCGUACCUUUUGUAUAAUGGGUCAGCGACUUAUAUUCUGUAGCAAGGUUAACCGAAUAGGGGAGCCGAAGGGAAACCGAGUCUUAACUGGGCGUUAAGUUGCAGGGUAUAGACCCGAAACCCGGUGAUCUAGCCAUGGGCAGGUUGAAGGUUGGGUAACACUAACUGGAGGACCGAACCGACUAAUGUUGAAAAAUUAGCGGAUGACUUGUGGCUGGGGGUGAAAGGCCAAUCAAACCGGGAGAUAGCUGGUUCUCCCCGAAAGCUAUUUAGGUAGCGCCUCGUGAAUUCAUCUCCGGGGGUAGAGCACUGUUUCGGCAAGGGGGUCAUCCCGACUUACCAACCCGAUGCAAACUGCGAAUACCGGAGAAUGUUAUCACGGGAGACACACGGCGGGUGCUAACGUCCGUCGUGAAGAGGGAAACAACCCAGACCGCCAGCUAAGGUCCCAAAGUCAUGGUUAAGUGGGAAACGAUGUGGGAAGGCCCAGACAGCCAGGAUGUUGGCUUAGAAGCAGCCAUCAUUUAAAGAAAGCGUAAUAGCUCACUGGUCGAGUCGGCCUGCGCGGAAGAUGUAACGGGGCUAAACCAUGCACCGAAGCUGCGGCAGCGACGCUUAUGCGUUGUUGGGUAGGGGAGCGUUCUGUAAGCCUGCGAAGGUGUGCUGUGAGGCAUGCUGGAGGUAUCAGAAGUGCGAAUGCUGACAUAAGUAACGAUAAAGCGGGUGAAAAGCCCGCUCGCCGGAAGACCAAGGGUUCCUGUCCAACGUUAAUCGGGGCAGGGUGAGUCGACCCCUAAGGCGAGGCCGAAAGGCGUAGUCGAUGGGAAACAGGUUAAUAUUCCUGUACUUGGUGUUACUGCGAAGGGGGGACGGAGAAGGCUAUGUUGGCCGGGCGACGGUUGUCCCGGUUUAAGCGUGUAGGCUGGUUUUCCAGGCAAAUCCGGAAAAUCAAGGCUGAGGCGUGAUGACGAGGCACUACGGUGCUGAAGCAACAAAUGCCCUGCUUCCAGGAAAAGCCUCUAAGCAUCAGGUAACAUCAAAUCGUACCCCAAACCGACACAGGUGGUCAGGUAGAGAAUACCAAGGCGCUUGAGAGAACUCGGGUGAAGGAACUAGGCAAAAUGGUGCCGUAACUUCGGGAGAAGGCACGCUGAUAUGUAGGUGAAGCGACUUGCUCGUGGAGCUGAAAUCAGUCGAAGAUACCAGCUGGCUGCAACUGUUUAUUAAAAACACAGCACUGUGCAAACACGAAAGUGGACGUAUACGGUGUGACGCCUGCCCGGUGCCGGAAGGUUAAUUGAUGGGGUUAGCCGCAAGGCGAAGCUCUUGAUCGAAGCCCCGGUAAACGGCGGCCGUAACUAUAACGGUCCUAAGGUAGCGAAAUUCCUUGUCGGGUAAGUUCCGACCUGCACGAAUGGCGUAAUGAUGGCCAGGCUGUCUCCACCCGAGACUCAGUGAAAUUGAACUCGCUGUGAAGAUGCAGUGUACCCGCGGCAAGACGGAAAGACCCCGUGAACCUUUACUAUAGCUUGACACUGAACAUUGAGCCUUGAUGUGUAGGAUAGGUGGGAGGCUUUGAAGUGUGGACGCCAGUCUGCAUGGAGCCGACCUUGAAAUACCACCCUUUAAUGUUUGAUGUUCUAACGUUGACCCGUAAUCCGGGUUGCGGACAGUGUCUGGUGGGUAGUUUGACUGGGGCGGUCUCCUCCUAAAGAGUAACGGAGGAGCACGAAGGUUGGCUAAUCCUGGUCGGACAUCAGGAGGUUAGUGCAAUGGCAUAAGCCAGCUUGACUGCGAGCGUGACGGCGCGAGCAGGUGCGAAAGCAGGUCAUAGUGAUCCGGUGGUUCUGAAUGGAAGGGCCAUCGCUCAACGGAUAAAAGGUACUCCGGGGAUAACAGGCUGAUACCGCCCAAGAGUUCAUAUCGACGGCGGUGUUUGGCACCUCGAUGUCGGCUCAUCACAUCCUGGGGCUGAAGUAGGUCCCAAGGGUAUGGCUGUUCGCCAUUUAAAGUGGUACGCGAGCUGGGUUUAGAACGUCGUGAGACAGUUCGGUCCCUAUCUGCCGUGGGCGCUGGAGAACUGAGGGGGGCUGCUCCUAGUACGAGAGGACCGGAGUGGACGCAUCACUGGUGUUCGGGUUGUCAUGCCAAUGGCACUGCCCGGUAGCUAAAUGCGGAAGAGAUAAGUGCUGAAAGCAUCUAAGCACGAAACUUGCCCCGAGAUGAGUUCUCCCUGAC
This 2795-nucleotide ribosomal RNA is filed under the name Escherichia coli. RNAcentral's name for it is "partial 23S ribosomal RNA". It matches the Rfam family "Bacterial large subunit ribosomal RNA". The record is from RNAcentral. Lineage: Bacteria; Pseudomonadati; Pseudomonadota; Gammaproteobacteria; Enterobacterales; Enterobacteriaceae.